RNAcentral lists this ribosomal RNA (254 nucleotides) under uncultured bacterium. RNAcentral's name for it is "partial 16S ribosomal RNA". It matches the Rfam family "Bacterial small subunit ribosomal RNA", at positions 524 to 776 of the family's 1533-position model. The record is from RNAcentral.
UACGUAGGGUGCGAGCGUUGUCCGGAAUUAUUGGGCGUAAAGAGCUCGUAGGCGGUGUGUCACGUCGUUCGUGAAAACCUGCAGCUUAACUGUGGGCGUGCGGUCGAUACGGGCAUCACUGGAGUUCGGCAGGGGAGACUGGAAUUCCUGGUGUAGCGGUGAAAUGCGCAGAUAUCAGGAGGAACACCGGUGGCGAAGGCGGGUCUCUGGGCCGAUAUUGACGCUGAGGAGCGAAAGCGUGGGGAGCGAACAGG